AUGAAUUUUCAUUCAAGACCACAAGUUACUUUUGCCAUUACAAUGAUUAUUCAAGUCCAUAUAUCAAAAAUCAUUACACUACUAACCAUUGUAAAUACUACAAUACAAAUCCCAAAAUCAUCAAUACAUCAUAUGAAAUUUCAAAAUUACAAAGAAAUUUUCAUAAAAACUCCUCCUAAAACUUAG
This is a non-coding RNA of Vicia faba (fava bean), 186 nucleotides long. Lineage: Eukaryota; Viridiplantae; Streptophyta; Magnoliopsida; Fabales; Fabaceae. The record is from the annotation of a GenBank genome assembly.